GUGGGGAAUCUUGCGCAAUGGGGGAAACCCUGACGCAGCAACGCCGCGUGGGUGAUGAAGGCCUUCGGGUCGUAAAGCCCUGUCAGGUGGGAAGAAACCCAUCGGUGCAAACAGCACCGGUGAUUGACGGUACCACCGGAGGAAGCACCGGCUAACUCCGUGCCAGCAGCCGCGGUAAUACGGAGGGUGCAAGCGUUGUUCGGAAUUACUGGGCGUAAAGCGCGUGUAGGCGGUCGGGUAAGUCAGAUGUGAAAGCCCCCGGCUUAACUGGGGAACUGCAUUUGAAACUGCCUGGCUGGAGUUCGGGAGAGGAGAGUGGAAUUCCUGGUGUAGAGGUGAAAUUCGUAGAUAUCAGGAGGAACACCGGUGGCGAAGGCGGCUCUCUGGCCCGACACUGACGCUGAGACGCGAAAGCGUGGGGAGCAAACAGGAUUAGAUACCCCAGUAGUCC
Molecule: ribosomal RNA, 451 nt
Filed under: uncultured bacterium
Lineage: Bacteria
Description: bacterial SSU rRNA
Rfam family: Bacterial small subunit ribosomal RNA
Source: RNAcentral